GAGGUUCCGAGUUCUUCCAUUUAUCAUUCAUGCCAGUGCAUUUGUACUGUCUGGUCAUUGACGCUAAUCAUUGAUCCAAAAAAUUCGAGUUGUUAGAAAUAUACAAUCAAUUCACUUAAAGCGCGUAGACACAACGCCCACGAAUCUCAAUUGUGACUCGGCCCAACUAGCAUCACGCCACUCAAACAUGACUCGGCCCAACCCAGCCUUCCGCCAUUUCGAACAUAACUCGACUCGACCCGACCUCCCGCCACGGGACAAAAUACUGACCCUCUUUAAGCCAACACGUAUAUGCAAUGAUUCAGCUGAUCUCCUCCAUACAAGU
Molecule: long non-coding RNA, 325 nt
Filed under: Ananas comosus (pineapple)
Lineage: Eukaryota; Viridiplantae; Streptophyta; Magnoliopsida; Poales; Bromeliaceae
Description: long non-coding RNA (ACOM_LNC040849)
Source: RNAcentral